Molecule: long non-coding RNA, 648 nt
Organism: Cucurbita moschata (crookneck pumpkin)
Lineage: Eukaryota; Viridiplantae; Streptophyta; Magnoliopsida; Cucurbitales; Cucurbitaceae
Exons: 5
Source: RefSeq, a predicted model, not a curated record
GAGAGAGAGAGAGCUACAAAGAAACUCUUCUGACUGAGAAGCCAUGCAGACGCAGUUGACUCUUCCACAUACCUCAAGGAGAUCGAGAAGGCCCCUCGAGACCUUGGCGCUCUAAUUUCCUAGGAGAAAUGCGCUCCUUUUAUGCUUCGUUUAGCAGGGACUUCUUAGGCAGGCGGCAUGAUGCUGGUACUUGUGAUGCUAAAACGAAAACAAAGAACUGCAAACAAGGAACUGAAAAUUGCAGUUGAUUUCUGAGAAGAACCUGUGAAGACUGGACAUCCAAAAAUCACAUAUGCAGCAGACCUGAACCAGAAAUGGGAGGCAGUCUCUCGUGACUCUCUGAAUCGAUGAGGUUGACGGCGAUACGGAAGUGGCAAAAGUAGACAAUAUUUGCUAGUGGUAAAUUUGGACUGUUUACAAAUGGUAUCAGAGCCAGACACCGGACAUUGUGAGAUCCUCCAUUGGUUGGAGAGCGGAAUGAAGCACUUUUUGUAAGGGUGUGGAAAUCUCACCCUAACAUACGUGUUUUAAAACCAUGAGGCUAACGGUGAUACGUAACGGGUCAAAGCAAAUAAUAUCUAUGUUAGCAGUGACUUUGGGCUAUUAGAAAUGAUAUCAGAGCAAGACACUGGUGUGCCAGUGAGAACG